Molecule: long non-coding RNA, 14913 nt
Filed under: Arabidopsis lyrata
Lineage: Eukaryota; Viridiplantae; Streptophyta; Magnoliopsida; Brassicales; Brassicaceae
Description: long non-coding RNA (ALYR_LNC003393)
Rfam family: Plant small nucleolar RNA R71 (bases 10253-10359)
Source: RNAcentral
UUUUUUUUUCCGACUCUCUUUUUGUCCGACGAUUUUGGCGAUUGAGGGUAGAUUUAAGGGAGAAAUUCUAGUGUAUGAGCGUGCGUUCGGCCGGAUCGUCAUCUCUAGAGCCACUGCUCAUCAUCAGUGAUGGGAGAUUAAGCAAAUCGGAGAUCCAUAUCUUCCGAAUUGGAGAGCAAUCGACGAAGGAAGCUCCCGUUUGUUUCUAAUGGUAUAAAUCUUGUCCUUUUCCCAGGUUUUCAUGAUUAAAUCUUGUAGUUUGAUGUUGGUCAAUUAGGGUUCUCCGAUUUUUACCAAAUUAGGAUUAUGUUUUGUAAAUUAGGGUUCUUAGUUCUAAGAAUCGAUUAGGGUUACUUGAAUCAAUUUGGAGGUUUGUGUUUGUUAUUUGGCAUGAUUGAAGACUAAUCGAGUCAUUGAAUGUUUGAUUAGUCUUCAUAGUUUUGGAUAAAUUAGGGUUCUUAGUUCUAUGCAUCAAUUAGGGUUAAAAGAAUAAAUUUGGGGACUCUGUUAUAGUUCUUUGGCAUGAUUGACGACGAAAUUUGAGAAGAGUUUGAUUUUGAUAUGUACUGUCGGAAAUCAUAUUUUAUUUUGGAGAUGCUCUAAGUAUUAUCGGAUUUUACAUGAUUCAUACACUGUUUUGUUUUCAGUCUUCAUACAUUGAAUUUGAUUUGUAUAUCUCUCUGAUUUGCUUGAAUCAAUUUGUCAAAUAAAUGUGUAAUCUGAUUUGUAGUCUUAAUGUUUGUGGUAAUAUAAUUUCUUUUUCUCUGUUUUUGGUGAGGGUAAAUGGAGUGUCUGGAAGUGGAGAAAGCAGAUUGGUGUUGUCGUUUAGGAGAAUCUGCAAGUGGAUAAAGGCAUAGAUUUAACAGCCAUAAAUGAAGGUAAAUUUGCCUUGUGUUUGUGUUUGCAUUCUAUGAGCUUUAUGUUAUAUGCACAUUAGGUAGAGAUUUAAAUAAAGAGUUAAGUAAACUGAGCAUUGCUGCUUUAUGUUAUAAACAAUGGUGUUGUCGUUUAGGAGAGCUCAUUGUGUUUGUUAUAUCAUUGAUUUCUGUUUUAUGUUAGGUAUAGAGUUAAGUAUAUAAUUAAGUAAACUGAUCGAGAAUCAAACUUUAAGUUUUUACUGUUCCCAGUUUUUUUUGUGAUAAAUGCAUUGUAUGUUCUCUCUGAUCAAUGCAUAGUUGGUUUAGAUUAGGUAAAGACUUUAGUGUCUUUAUCAUGUCAUUGAUUGCUAACACUAGUUAGAACUUCAUGAUAGUAGGAUUUUAACUAAGAUCAAUUAUCCUUAAAUCACUAUCAUGUCAUUGCAGUAUUUAAGGUGUCAAUCCAAAUGGGUGUGAUGCUAGCAAUCAAGAUGCAAUCAGAUUUCACAGAGUCAAGCCAAGCAAUAACAGGUUUUGAUGUUGUUAACAGUUCCAGUGAUCAUGCAGAAAACAAUAAUUCUAACAGAAACAGAUAACACACUCGAUCACACAGCUUAAUGCCAAGCACUGGAUGUGGUCGAGUGCCAGGUCGAGUACCAAACAGAAACUGCAACAAAUGUACUCGACUGCACAGUCCGUUUCCAAACCGCUGGGUGUGGUCGAGUACUUCAAGUGAAAUAAGUAAAAAUGCAAAAACUAAGCAACAAGUAACGAGAUCAAGCAAUCAAUAGCGAUGUGAACAAAGAAAUCAAUUGGAAGAGAAAUUCCCGAGGAUGGGGUGAUCGAGUAGUGAAGUCUCCUUAAUCUAACAGGUGGUUAACAUGCUCAACAAACUAUCCCUAGACAACAAGUUCAAUAGCCAAAUCAAAGUGCUACCGCAACAGAGAUCCUCAAGCAAAGCUAGUCCCAGACUCAAUCACCAUUGACGAGAGCUAACCUAACAGGCAUUAUGAAACAACAAGUCUAAGCCAAAACGCUCCCUGUAACCAAUACCUUGGUACAGAGCCACGAAUCUCUGGAAUUAGUGGUUCAGACAUUUCAUCGAACACCUUUUGGGUGCGGAAAUGUCUGGGCUCAGAUUCCAGUUGAUCAGAAAGCAAUCAGCAUUAAGAACAACUAAUCCAGAAGGGAUCUACCAAUCAAACUCAACCACCUAGCAGAUCAAGGAUUCUAAACUACUCUAACCCAUCCUCAAGAACCCUAAUCACUACUCAAAAUUCAUAACCAAGAACACAAACCCAGAAAUACAUAAAAACUUCAUAUUAGCAAGAUCUCAACAAGAUGAACAACUUUGUAGAAGAAAUCAAAAGCAAAUACUCAAUAGAUUAAGAGAAAUCUGGAUUACAAAUAUGAAGAAAGCACUAAUUGUUCUGCAGAAUAAAACUUAGUCUGAAAAUUAUGAGAAACAACCUAUUUAUAGCAAAUACUAGGAAACCCUAAAUCACAAAACGACAAAGUAUUAAGGCGGUUUACGGAGACAUUCGGCUUCGUGCAAUCGAGUGAAGAGGUCGAGCAAAGCUGGCUCCUUUGCGGUUUCUUGAUCUGGUCGUGAUGCGAUCGAGUGACUAGGUCGAGUAUGCACUCGAGUCCCGCUUCAUCUUGAUCUCUUCCUUAUGCUCAGUGUCUGGUUGAGUUGGGAUCUGAGAAGCCUUUGAAGCGUGCAGUCGAGUGCUUGGUCGAGUAAGUUGGUGGAGGAUACUCGACUGCAUGCUCGAGUCGUGAUCUGGAGUCGUGGUCUACUUGGUGAAGGAGCUGGUACUCGACCACGAGGUCGAGUGGUAGGUCGAGUUGGUGAAGGAGAGGGUACUCGACCACGAGGUCGAGUGGUAGGUCGAGUUGGUGAAGGAGAGGGUACUCGACUUGGUGAUGGACUUGGUGAUCGACUUGGUGCUCGAGUUGGUGAUCGACUUGGUGCUCGACUUGGUGCUCGACUUGGUCGUGGUCGAGUGCAUUUGGAAGGUCAUGAUGAUGGUGCUCGACCUCGUGGUCGAGCAUACUGAUGGGUUCUGGUCCACUUCUUCCAAUUUGCUCACCAACAGCUCCAGAUCACCUGAAAACAACUCAAAUAUGCAACAUGCAUGCAAAACUAUCCUAAUCAUGCAAAGUGAUGACAAAUGAUGAAAAAAUGGUAUGAAACAAUGACGAAAUGAUGAUAAAGUGAUGCUAAAUGGAUGCUCAAAACAAGUAAAAUAUAGACAUAACAACUCCCCCAAACUUAGUCUUUGCUUGCCCUCAAGCAAACAAUUAAGAACAAGCUGGAGGAGAGGUUUGAAAGCGGGGACUCAGAACCAAAGCAUGCAGACAAAGCAAAUGAACUCAAUGUCCAAGUUAGUAAUUGUGGAAUGCUUAGAGACCAAACUCUACUUAAAAACUUUAGCCAUAUUCAUCACAAGACAACCUAACAUUUGUUCCAAUCUACACACACCUUCAGAUCAUCAAUUCCCUUUAACAUUGAUUAAGCUCUAACCAUGAAUCAAGCAAAACAUUGUUGAAGAACUCAUUUGGUUUAAAGGACAAGGCUGAGAAACAAAGAUGGUUCCUCUGUAAAUGGUUUCAGACUUUUUCACAGUAACAGGGAACUCUCAUGAAUGGACAGAGCUUUAGUAGAAUGCUAAAGGUUAGAACCAACCUACGCAUACAAGAACAGACCCCAUCUACCCAAAUAACCAUAAGUAUAUCAAACUCCAUAGAUGGUCCUAUCUCUAAACCCCAGAAAUGAUCCUAAUUCUACCCUUUUGCACUCAAGGCAUGUUUCAAUAAUCUCUUGGAUCAACCCAUUCUUUGUUUUUGGUUUUUGUUCUAAGGAGAGGUUUUCUUUUAGACUUUCUAGCGGAUUGGGACUUUCUUUAACAACUAAGGCUCUUCUUCUCAUCUCAUGACUUAAGACAACUCUAGGCUUUUGCCUUUCUUUUUACUUUGCACAGAGCCUAACUUCUUUUAUUUUCAAGCUUCCCAAUUUUUUUACUAGACUAACAUGAUAUUCUUUUCUGUUUCACUUUCAUCUCCUAAGAACAAUAACACUUGUCUUUCUUUCUCAUUUUUAUUCCAAACACAUUCCCAAACCCAAAGUAAAACUCCCACCUAGUCCUAUCUAGCCCAAAAAGCGUGGACUAGAACUACAUGGGAUACCAUUCUUGUCGGUUCAUACCUAACACUUUCUACCAAGCUCAAUCUGGAAAUAGGCCUCACACACACACAAAUUUAUUCAGGGCUUGAAAGAAAGGUUAGGUUCAGGGUGGGGGAAACUGUUCCAAUGAUGGGAAUCAGCUACUUGGAUUAGCAAGAGUGGUAGAAGGUGAAAGAAAAUCCAAGUAUGUGUAUUGGUAGCCACAAGUUCAACAACAAUGCAAAGACAUGAUAAUUAUAAGUCAAGUUCAGGUUCUAAUAGAUAGGGAAAAGAAUCACAUCAAGCAUGCUUCAAUUAAAACAAGAGAGUCAAGUUGUGAAUUCCAAAUAUGGUGCAGUCUUAAUUCAAGUUCUAUCACAAGCAUUAAACAACUAAUAACGAGGGCAUUGAAUUCAUUCAGUAAAUGAGCAUGCUUACAAGGUUAUCGCAUCAUCAUCCCCUAUGCAAAUGCAACAAUCCUAUAUGAAACCUUCUAGACUCAAUCUUAAAAUGAAAAUGCAACUACAUGAACACUCUAUUUUUGUGAAAUCAUUUUCAGAAAUUUUUCAAAUUUUUAGGGUUUUUUCAAUAACAUAGAUGAAUGCAGACAAUAUGUAAUAUGCAAGAAAAAUUUGAAAACAAGAACAAAGCAAACUCAUCAGAUACUUCUUGAGCCCUCCCCCAAACUUAAAUCACACAGUCCGCUGUGUGACCAAAUUUGGAAGAGAGUACUCAGGACAAAUAAAUAAAGAAAGAAAACAUGAGAUGGUAUAAACAAUGGGGAAGUGGAGUUGUUACCUCAACUGAAGAAGGAGUUGAUGUUCUCAUCAAUGCUUGCUUGUGUAAACAUCAUACUCGACCAUGUUUCUUCAUCAGCAUGUGGCCUCGCAUGAUAGAGUGACAUGUUGAAACUUCAAAAAUCUUGAGACUAAAACCCCAUUGAUACUCGAUCACACAGCUUCACUUGCUCUUUGCCCUUGUGGUCGAGUAUUCUAUUGCACUCUGAGCUAGAGUCCACUUCACUUUGCACUUGACACACAUUUCCUGAAAACCAAAACACUACCAAAACGCAUUAAAAUAACAAGGAAAUAAAAAUAUGUACAUGGAUAGACAUGGGACUUCCUCCCAAGUGAGCUUGUUUUAAGUCAUUAGCUUGACUUCCUUACUCCCUUAAGCAUCAAGAGGUUCCUGGAGAUGAACUGAGGUCACCUCUGGGAAGAUUUGAUCUGCUAAGUAUUUCUUGAGUCUUUGGCCAUUCACUGUGAAAUCUCCACUCUUACCAGCUAGAGUGAUUGCUCCAUAAGGGCGAACUUCAGUAACACAGAAGGGACCAGACCAUCUAGACUUGAGCUUUUCUGGAAAGAGUUUCAGGCGAGAAUUGAAUAGCAGCACCUGAUCACCAACUUGGAAGUCCUUGGUGAUGAUCUUCUUAUCAUGGAAAAGCUUAGUCCUUUCUUUGUAGAUUUUAGAGCUCUCAUAAGCUUCUAAGCGAAUCUCAUUGAGAUCUUUCAGUUGGAUCAACCGCUUCUCCUCAGCGGUUUUGAUGUCAAAGUUCAGAAGCUUCACAGCCCACAUAGCCUUGUACUCGAGCUCAACAGGUAAGUGACAGGAUUUUCCAUAGAGAAGGUUGAAGGGAGUUGUACCAAUAGGGGUUUUGAAUGUUGUCCUGUAAGCCCAUAGUGCAUCAUCUAGCUUUGCAGACCAGUCUUUCCUUGUAGUCCCAACAGUCUUCUCCAGAAUUGCUUUUAUCUCCCUGUUGGAGAUCUCAACCUGACCACUUGUCUGUGGAUGAUAAGGAGUGGCUACCUUAUGCUUCACUCCGUGUUUCUUCAAUAAGUUCUCAAAGACUUUGUUGAUGAAGUGUGUACCUCCAUCACUGAUGACGACCCUUGGUAUACCAAAUCUAGGGAAAAUUAUGGUUUUAAACAUCUUCAGAACCACCCUUGAGUCAUUUGUCGGACUUGCAAUGGCCUCAACCCACUUGGACACGUAGUCUACUGCUACCAAGAUGUAUUUGUUCCCAUAGGAAGAAGGGAACGGCCCCAUAAAGUUGAUUCCCCAGACGUCAAAGAUUUCUACCUCUAGUAUAGGAUUUUGUGGCAUUUCAUUUCUUCUGCUGAUGUUUCCCAUCCUUUGGCAUGAGUCACAUCUUGAUAUGAACUGCUGGGCGUCUUUGAACAUGGUUGGCCACCAGAAGCCUGCUUGCAGUACCUUAGAUACUGUCUUAAAAGUCACAAAGUGACCACCAUAUGUUGAACCAUGGCAGUGAAGCAAGAUGUCUUCCACUUCCUCCUCUGAGAUACAUCUUCUGUAAAUUUUGUCUUUACAGAGAGUGUAAAGAUAUGGCUCAUCCCAGUAGUAGUGGUUGAUAUCUCUGAAAAACUUCUUCUUUUCAUAACUGGUCAGGUUGGGAGGCUCUACUCCGCAGGCCAAGUAAUUGACAUGAUCAGCAUACCAUGGAGAUUUUCCUUCAACAGCAUUCAGUUGGUGAAACUCAUUCCCCCUGUAAUUCUUUCCAAAGAAUUCUGUAACCAUGAGUUGCUCCUCUGGCAUCAAAUCAUCAAUAGGGACUUCAUCAUCGGUCCUCAUCCUUGAUAAGUGAUCAGCUACACCGUUCUCUAUACCCUUCUUGUCUACUAUUUCCAUGUCAAACUCUUGCAGAAGUAGUAUCCAUCUCAAUAGUCUUGGCUUAGUGUCCUUCUUUGCAUAAAUGUGUCUCAAGGCUGCAUGAUCUGUGUAGACUAUGACUUUAGAACCCACCAAGUAGCUUCUGAACUUUUCAAACGCAAAAACAACUGCCAAUAACUCCUUCUCUGUCGUGGCAUACUUCACCUGAGCAUCAUCCAUUGUUCUACUUGCGUAAUAGAUGACAUGGAGCUUCUUGUCAAUCUUUUGUCCCAAGACUGCUCCUACAGCGUAAUCUGAGGCGUCACACAUGAUUUCGAAUGGAUAGUCCCAGUUUGGAGCUUGGACUAUUGGAGCUGAAAUUAGAGCUUCCUUGAUGAGUUGAAAAGCUUUCAGGCAUUCCUCAUCAAAAUCAAACUCUGUUUCCUUGCACAGCAGCCUUGUCAUUGGUCUUGCCAGCUUGGAGAAAUCCUUGAUAAACCUUCUAUAAAACCCAUCAUGUCCCAGAAAACUUCUCACAUCUUUGACACUCCUUGGUGGUUGCAACUGCACCAUAACCUCAAUCUUUGCUCUGUCAACUUCUAUACCCUUCUUGUGCCCCAAUACAAUGCCUUCUUUGACCAUGAAAUGGCAUUUUUCCCAGUUGAGUACUAAGUUUGUCUCUUCGCACCUAGAAAGUACCCUGCACAAGUUUGACAAACAAGAGGAGAAGGAGGAGCCAUACACGGAAAAGUCAUCCAUGAAUACCUCAACCAUCUCCUCAAUUAAAUCCGAGAAGAUAGAAGUCAUGCACCGCUGAAAUGUAGCUGGUGCAUUACAGAGACCAAAAGGCAUUCUUUUAUAUGCAAAGGUUCCAUAUGGACAUGUGAAUGUAGUUUUCUCUUGAUCAUUAGGGUGAAUUGGUAUUUGAAAGAAACCACUAUAACCAUCAAGAAAGCAGUAGUAUGGGUGAUUAGCUAACCUUUCUAGCAUUUGAUCAAUGAAUGGAAGUGGAAAAUGAUCUUUCCUAGAUGCAGAAUUCAACUUCCUAUAGUCAAUGCACAUUCUAUGUCCAGUUAUAGUUCUAGUGGGUAUGAGCUCAUCUUUAUCAUUUUUUACAACAGUCAUACCUCCUUUCUUUGGAACACAAUGAACUGGAGAUACCCAAGUGCUAUCGGAAAUAGGGUAAAUUACACCUGCUUCCAAUAGUUUAAGUAUCUCCUUCUUUACAACUUCUUUUAAAUUAGGAUUCAACCUUCUUUGGGGUUCAAUGCUCGAAUAAGAUUCAUUUUCAAGAUGAAUGCGAUGUGUGCAUAAACUAGGUGAAAUGCCCUUUAUAUCAUCAAGUGAAUAACCAAUGGCUCUUCUAUACUUUUUCAGUUCAGUUAACAGAAGAUGCACUUGUUCAUCAGUUAAUGCAUCAUUCACAAUGACAGGAUAUGUAGAGUUGUUACCUAGAAAUGCAUACCUGAGUCCUUUGGGAAGCGGCUUAAGUUCAACUUUUGGUGCCUUGAGUUCAGACCAGUCGUCUGAUGUUGGAAUGAUCAGCUCCGCAUGGAUGUCAACUGUAGUGGUCGAGUGUUCAGUCGAGUAAGUCCUCGAGUGAGCAGGUUGAGCCUGAGUUGAGUCCUCGUCAUUCACUGCCAUUACCUCUGUUGCUGACCCAUUCAAUUCCUCAAAGGAUUCCGACUCUUCUACUGCUUUGUGUGAGUCCAACAGCUUCUGGUAACCCAAAGUUUCUAAAUGCAAAAACCCUUCUUCACCAUUCUUGGUCAAAGCACUCUUAAGGUGAUCUUCUUCUGCUAGUUCCUCUAGUAACUCAUUAGCUAACUGAUCCAUUUCUUCAAUCCAAAAGAGUUGCCCUUCUAUAGUUGGCUUCUUCAUUGCAUCCUUUAUAUCAAAGGUCAUUUUAAGGUCUUUACCAAGGUUCAGAUCGAUCUUCCCCUUCUUGACAUCAAUGAUAGCUCCAGCAGUCGCCAAGAAAGGUCUUCCCAGAAUCAGAGGGUCCUUUGGUUCUUCAUCCAUUUCAAGCACUACAAAAUCAGUAGGUUUCUCUACGACUCCGAUCUUGAUUGGUAAGUCUUCAAGCAGGCCAUGAGGUAUUCUGAUGGAUCUGUCUGCUAGAAUCAGAGAGAUAUUGCAAGCUUUGUAUUUGCUGAAACCAAGUCUUUUCGCAACUGAGAGAGGCAUGAGGCUCACUGAUGCGCCUAGAUCGCAGAGGCAUCUGUUGAAUGAUAAAGGACCUAAUGAACACGGUAGAGUGAAUGAGCCAGGAUCACCAAGCUUCUUUGGAAUGAUCUUCUUCUGUAUAAUAGCACUGCAUUCAUGACUCAAUACUACCAUUCCUUGCACUUCUUGAAUUCUUUCCAUGAUCAGGUCUUUCAGAAACUUGUGGGAAUCCAGAAUAAGCGCGAGAGCAUCAACAAGAGGUAUUCUUAAUUCAACUUCUUUGAUGUUCUUGGCAAACAUAGCUCUAUACUUUUCUGCCAAUGCUUUCUUGUGUCGUCCAGGGAAUGGAAGUGGGGGUUUGUAAGGAGGAGGAACAAAAACCUUCUCCUUGUUCUUAGCAGCAACUGGUUUUAGAACAACAGGUGAUGUUACUGGAAUUGGUGAUCGAGUAGCAUGGUCGAGUGGAGGGUCGAGUACUUCUGUUGGCUUGUAAGCUUGAUCUUCAUUGAGAUUGAAAUCCUCCCCAGCUUGGUCUGCACUGUCCUCAGUGGCUGGCUUAGGUCCCUCUCUGGUUGGAAGUUCUUUACCACUGCGCAAGGUGAUAGCAUGAGCUUGAGCAUAGUCUUUUGGAUUCUGAAUUGCUUUGCCUGGAAGUUGACAUAUAGGUUUUGGAGCAGAAGUGGAUGCAGAUUGUCCUUCCAAGUAUCGGACUUUGGAAUUCAGUGCCUCAACUUUGACAUUUAAGUCAUUGUAGCUACAGUCCAGCUUAUUGUGUAAUUCAGAUAUCUUCUUAGCAAUCUCCAUGGAGCCAGAUGCUUGUCCUUGGAGAAGCUGUUGUAGCAUUUGCUUCAUGUCAGAAUCAGGGGCAGCAUGACCUUGGUGUUGCUGAGGUGCAAACCCAGGUGGUGGUUGCUGCUGGUAGUUCCCCUGAAAUUGUUGCUUGGGAGCAAAGCCUUGGUUGUAGGGAACAAAAGGUUUAUUCUGACCCUGCUGUUGUUGUGGAGGAUACACUUGAUCCUGUGGAUUAGCAACGUUGGUGCUGCGGUAAGAAAGGUUGGGGUUGUUAGUCUUGAAGUUGUUAUACCCUUUAUAGCCGCCUUGAUUGUUGAUGUAGCUGACCUCUUCUAACUGGUUCCCCUCCCCAUCUUGGACUUGAUACUGCUCGUCAUCAAGUAGAAAGUGCACAUUCUUCUGCUGGCCAAGGAUAAGCCUAUCCAGUUUCUCAUUAAGAGCUUUCAUCUCUUUACUAUGCUUUGCAUCCGAAUCGCCAAUACCUCUGUUGGAGCGAUCAAAAUCCUCGUUAUAAUUACCAUCGGAUUGAGCUAAGUUCUCAAUUAAUUCCCAGCCUUCUUCAACAUCCUUAUUCAAGAAAUUCCCAUUAGAAACAGUGUCCAGCAACAUUCUGAUCUUGGGCAAAACUCCCCUGUAGAGUGUGCUUAGUAGAGAAGCCUUCUUGAAACCAUGGUGUGGACACUGUAUAGUGUAGCCUUUGAAUCUCUCCCAAGCUUCAUAAAUGGAUUCAGACUGCUUUUGGGUAAAACUGGAGAUUUCAUUCCUAAGCCUUGCAGUUCUUGAAUUUGAGAAGAACUUUGUUAAGAAGGCCUUCUUGCAAUCGUCCCAAGAUGUGAUGGAGCCAGCAGGUAACGUCUUUUCCCAUUGGUGUGCUUUGUCUCCCAGUGAGAAGGGAAACAGGCGCAGCUUGAAACUGUCCUCACUAACACCGUUUAUCUUGGUUAGGCUACAGAGCUUGUCGAAGUUAUCCAAGUGGUCUAAGGGAUCUUCCAGAGGCAGACCAUGGAACUUGUUUCCUUGAAUCAUCGAGAUGAGACCACUUUUAAUCUCGAAGUUGUUGUUUUGGACAGCAGGAGGCACAAUUCCUUGCCUCUGAUGGUGGUUUCUUGGUGCAUCUCCAGCACCAAUGUUUGCAGGCAGAUUGUUGACAUCUUGUUCAUCAGCCAUUCGGAAAGGAUGGUUGUGUUCAAGGUCUGUAGUGUCUCUCCUUUCCCUUAGUUCUCUGUCAAUACGGUCAAUGUUAUCGUUGAAAAGGAGGUUCUGGUUGCCUUUUGAUCGAGUUUGCAUACAGCAGGGUUGUACCUGGAUCAAGAAGACAACAAGAAAAACAAAAAGUUAGUAACCUAAGUGAAAAUUGAAAUAGAACUUGAUCUAAGCAAGUCUGAAAUCUCAAAUGUAACAAACAAACACCCAAAUGGCAACGGCGCCAAAUUGAUAGUAGGAUUUUAACUAAGAUCAAUUAUCCUUAAAUCACUAUCAUGUCAUUGCAGUAUUUAAGGUGUCAAUCCAAAUGGGUGUGAUGCUAGCAAUCAAGAUGCAAUCAGAUUUCACAGAGUCAAGCCAAGCAAUAACAGGUUUUGAUGUUGUUAACAGUUCCAGUGAUCAUGCAGAAAACAAUAAUUCUAACAGAAACAGAUAACACACUCGAUCACACAGCUUGAUGCCAAGCACUGGAUGUGGUCGAGUGCCAGGUCGAGUACCAAACAGAAACUGCAACAAAUGUACUCGACUGCACAGUCCGUUUCCAAACCGCUGGGUGUGGUCGAGUACUUCAAGUGAAAUAAGUAAAAAAGCAAAAACUAAGCAACAAGUAACGAGAUCAAGCAAUCAAUAGCGAUGUGAACAAAGAAAUCAAUUGGAAGAGAAAUUCCCGAGGAUGGGGUGAUCGAGUAGUGAAGUCUCCUUAAUCUAACAGGUGGUUAACAUGCUCAACAAACUAUCACUAGACAACAAGUUCAAUAGCCAAAUCAAAGUGCUACCGCAACAGAGAUCCUCAAGCAAAGCUAGUCCCAGACUCAAUCACCAUUGACGAGAGCUAACCUAACAUGCAUUACGAAACAACAAGUCUAAGCCAAAACGCUCCCUGUAACCAAUACCUUGGUACAGAGCCACGAAUCUCUGGAAUUAGUGGUUCAGACAUUUCAUUGAACACCUUUUGGGUGCGGAAAUGUCUGGGCUCAGAUUCCAGUUGAUCAGAAAGCAAUCAGCAUUAAGAACAACUAAUCCAGAAGGGAUCUACCAAUCAAACUCAACCACCUAGCAGAUCAAGGAUUCUAAACUACUCUAACCCAUCCUCAAGAAUCCUAAUCACUACUCAAAAUUCAUAACCAAGAACACAAACCCAGAAAUACAUAAAAACUUCAUAUUAGCAAGAUCUCAACAAGAUGAACAACUUUGUAGAAGAAAUCAAAAGCAAAUACUCAAUAGAUUAAGAGAAAUCUGGAUUAUAAAUAUGAAGAAAGCACUAAUUGUUCUGCAGAAUAAAACUUAGUCUGAAAAUUAUGAGAAACAACCUAUUUAUAGCAAAUACUAGGAAACCCUAAAUCACAAGACGACAAAGUAUUAAGGCGGUUUACGGAGACAUUCGGCUUCGUGCAAUAGAGUGAAGAGGUCGAGCAAAGCUGGCUCCUUUGCGGUUUCUUGAUCUGGUCGUGAUGCGAUCGAGUGACUAGGUCGAGUAUGCACUCGAGUCCCGCUUCAUCUUCUUCUCUUCCUUAUGCUCAGUGUCUGGUUGAGUUGGGAUCUGAGAAGCCUCUGAAGCGUGCAGUCGAGUGCUUGGUCGAGUAAGUUGGUGGAGGAUACUCGACUGCGUGCUCGAGUCGUGAUCUGGAGUCGUGGUCUACUUGGUGAAGGAGCUGGUACUCGACCACGAGGUCGAGUGGUAGGUCGAGUUGGUGAAGGAGAGGGUACUCGACUUGGUGAUCGACUUGGUGAUCGACUUGGUGAUCGACUUGGUGCUCGACUUGGUGGUGGUCGAGUGCAUUUGGAAGGUCAUGAUGAUGGUGCUCGACCUCGUGGUCGAGCAUACUGAUGGGUUCUGGUCCACUUCUUCCAAUUUGCUCACCAACAGCUCCAAAUCACCUGAAAACAACUCAAAUAUGCAACAUGCAUGCAAAACUAUCCUAAUCAUGCAAAGUGAUGACAAAUGACGAAGAAUGGUAUGAAACAAUGACGAAAUGAUGAUAAAGUGAUGCUAAAUGGAUGCUCAAAACAAGUAAAAUAUAGACAUAUCACUUCACCUUCUUUAAAUCAGUGAAAGAAAGACUAACACAAACCACAAACACUUUCAGUCAUAUAUUUUCUUAUACUUUAACCCUUUAGUCUUCUCUUCCACACGUCUUUUAACACUCACAGCCACUACAAUAUAGAUCCUAUGAAUCCAUAUUUUUAGUCUUCUGGUUUCCUGGACCUGUUGCAAAGUCAACAAGAAGGCAUAGCUUUUACCAAUCCGUAUGUGAGUAUGUCACCAAGUACUGUCAUUGGAUCAUCUGAAGUCCCAGCCUUUAGUACACAAUGCUCUGAUGAAGGAAGUGAAGGUGAAGCCAGACCUAAGGUAGGUAUAUCAAGCAAGAAAUGGAGCCCAAAAGAGGAUGUUGUUCUCAUAAGUGCAUGGUUGAACACCAGCAAGGAUCUUGUGAUAAGGAAUGAGAAAAAAUCUAAUUCCAUUGGGAAACGGAUUGCAGCCUAUGUAGCCUCUAGUCCGCAACUUGAUGGUCACCCAAAGAGAGAGCAUACUAAGGCCUUGGAUGUACGACGCGGUGCGGUGCGUAUCUGUCAAAACUACAGUUAAAUUUACCAUUCAACAUAACUUUUUUUUGUGAUUGUUGAUUAAAAUAAUGAAAAAACUAAUUGUUACUAUGGCGGGUCCAAUUAUAACAGAGAAACGACGAAACGCAUGUGGCCAUAGAAAUGCAUCAAAUAUGAUGUGGUUAAACAAUUGAAGUGUGAUCAUAUUUUUUUAUUUAUUUAUUAUAAUCCAAAAAAUUUUAGAACAAUUCAUAAGAGACAAAAAAAUGAUAUCGAUCACUACAAUUCUAAAGUAAAAUUUGGUUAACCCAAAUAUUAUAAAAUAUUUAUUGUUUGUGAAAUAUUUUCAUAAUUUUGCAAUAAUAAAUUUGUAAUUCAUAAAUCUAAAAUUCUUAUUGUUAACUUCAUUUUAUUAUUACUAUUUUUCCCUUAAAAAUAUUAAAAUAUAUUUUACCAAACGAUAUCUAACUCGAACCCGAAAAAAACCGAGCCCAAACUGGACAUAUUCUUUUGUUGUUUAUGAUCAUUACUAAAAUAUGUAAAAAGUUUGAUCAUUAAUUAAAUAACUUAUUAAUAAUUAAUUUAUUUUAUUGUAUUGAUUUUUGUUUAAAAUAUAUAUUGCGAAUCACUUGAUGUAUUUUUUAUCAUUCAAACAUUUGUACUACACCGCAUGGUGUUUUUUUCACCAUUCAUAAAUUAUCCGAACUACCCGAUCCCCUUGAUCAGCAAAUGUUCUGCAUACUGCGUUUCUUCUUAAUAAACCGCAGUUAAACUGCACCGCACUACUAAAUCCGCUUGAUUCGCACCGCUCAAUCCGCUUGAUCCGCACCGCUCAAUCCGCUUGAUCCGCACUGCUCAAUCCGCUGUUCCCAUUCGAAGCCUAAGUGUAAGCAAAGGUGAGGGAAGAUCAAUGAUGCAAUCAAUAAGUUUGUGAGUUGUUAUUCAGCAGCAACAAAUCAGAAAGCUAGUGGGCAAAGUGAGUUGUUUACUGAAAUGUUGUUUUAGGUUGUUUCAAAUUUCUUAGUUUUAGGUUUAUGUUUGAUAUUUCCAUGUAAGUUUUUCAUGAUUCAUGUUCUUAAGAGCAUGAAUAAAUGUCUCGGAUAAUGUAUGGUGUUGUGUUUAUAUUAAUGUACGAAGUAUUAUGAUUUUGUGUUUGGUCUAAGAAUUGUGUCUCGUAUUGCAUUUUAUUGUUUCCGUUUGUGUUUGGUCUGAGAAAUCUUUAUGUUCUUGGUCUAACUUGCAUUAUAUUGUUUUUGUUUUGCAUAUAUUUUUUUUUUGGAGAGAUCACAAGUUCAAUAGUUUUUACAAAAAAGGUGAAAAGAAGACAAAGGAGCCACCACCACAACUUUUACAAGUCACAAGUUCAAUACCAUAGACGACAAAGAAGUCACCACCAGAUAUUGAUUUGUGUAUGACUCAUAUAGUUUUGUUUUUAUGUGUAGACACCACAAGUCUUUGUAUUUGUUUUAGUGAUUGUGAACCACAUAAAUUGUUCUUCUUUUAAACUGAUCGUACACUAACAUUGCUAUAUACUACAACACAAUGCUUAUUAUUUCACCACCAACCAUAAUUUUUCUU